CCUACGGGUAGCAGCAGUGGGGAAUAUUGCACACUGGGGGCAACCCUGAUGCAGCGACGCCGCGUGAGUGCAGAAGUAUCUCGGUACGUAAAGCUCUAUCAGUAGGGAAGAAAAUGACGGUACCUGUCUACGAAGCCCCGGCUAACUACGUGCCAGCAGCCGCGGUAAUACGUAGGGGGCAAGCGUUAUCCGGAUUUACUGGGUGUAAAGGGAGCGUAGACGGCAGCACAAGUCUGGAGUGAAAUCCCGGGGCUUAACCCCGGAACUGCUUUGGAAACUGUGCGGCUGGAGUGCAGGAGGGGUAAGCGGAAUUCCUGGGGUAGCGGUGAAAUGCGUAGAUAUUAGGAGGAACACCGGUGGCGAAGGCGGCUGACUGGACUGUAACGGACGUUGAGGCUCGAAAGCGUGGGGAGCAAACAGGAUUAGAUACCCCGGUAGUC
Molecule: ribosomal RNA, 440 nt
Filed under: uncultured bacterium
Lineage: Bacteria
Description: partial 16S ribosomal RNA
Rfam family: Bacterial small subunit ribosomal RNA
Source: RNAcentral